Molecule: ribosomal RNA, 399 nt
Filed under: uncultured archaeon
Lineage: Archaea
Description: bacterial SSU rRNA
Rfam family: Archaeal small subunit ribosomal RNA
Source: RNAcentral
AUCGGGAGAGGUCAGAGGUACUCCUGGGUAGGGGGUGAAAUCCUGUAAUCCUAGGAGGACCACCUGUGGCGAAGGCGUCUGACUAGAACGAAUCUGACGGUGAGGAACGAAAGCUAGGGGCGCGAACCGGAUUAGAUACCCGGGUAGUCCUAGCCGUAAACUAUGCGGACUUGGUGUGAGGGUGGCUUUGAGCCGUCCUGGUGCCGAAGGGAAGCUGUUAAGUCCGCCGCCUGGGAAGUACGGUCGCAAGACUGAAACUUAAGGAAUUGGCGGGGAGCACCACAACGCGUGGAGCCUCGCGGUUUAAUUGGAUUCAACGCCGGAGAUCUCACCAGCGGCGACAGCAGUAUGAUGACCAGGUUGAUGACUUUGUUUGACAAGCUGAGGAGUGGUGCAUGG